This 63-nucleotide transfer RNA is filed under the name Sminthurinus signatus. Its description in RNAcentral is "tRNA-Asn". Lineage: Eukaryota; Metazoa; Arthropoda; Collembola; Symphypleona; Katiannidae. The record is from RNAcentral.
UUAAAAGAAACUAAUUUUUAGUAAAUUACUGUUAAUAAUUUUUUGGGUAAACCCCCUUUUAAA